GAUGAAGAACGUAGCGAAAUGCGAUAAGUAAUGUGAAUUGCAGAAUUCAGUGAAUCAUCGAAUCUUUGAACGCACAUUGCGCCCGCUAGUAUUCUAGCAGGCAUGCCUGUUCGAGCGUCAUUUCAACCCUCAAGCUAUGCUUGGUGUUGGGGUCCUACUUUGUAGGCCCUAAAAACUAGUGGCGGGCUCGCUAUAACUCCGAGCGUAGUAGUAAUAUAUCGCUAGGGAAGUGUAGCGGGUUCUAGCCGUAAAACCCCCCCACUUUAACAGGUUGACCUCGGAUCAGGUAGGAAUACCCGCUGAACUUAAGCAUAUCAAUAAGCGGAGGA
RNAcentral lists this unclassified non-coding RNA (329 nucleotides) under soil metagenome. Its description in RNAcentral is "partial contains 5.8S ribosomal RNA, internal transcribed spacer 2, and large subunit ribosomal RNA". The stretch from base 1 to 120 matches the Rfam family "5.8S ribosomal RNA", at positions 35 to 154 of the family's 154-position model. The record is from RNAcentral.